AUGGUUGUGCAUUUAUUUGGAGCAACGUCAUCUCCAAGUUGCUCUAACUAUGCGUUGAGAAAGUGUGCAGAGGAUCAUAAGGAUCUGUAUGAUGCUAAGACUGUGGACAUUGUCUUUAAUAAUUUCUAUGUAGACGAUUGUCUUGUAUCUGUGUCUACAGAUUCAGAAGCUGUUGUUGUGUACCAGAAGCUCACAGAAAUGUGCGCUAAAGGUGGAUUCCGAUUAACCAAAUGGAUAAGUAACAGCCGCACUGUGUUAAAUGCCAUCCCCGAGGAGGAUAGAGAAAAGAAAGUUAAGAACUUGGAUUUGGAACAUGACACGCUACCUUUGGAAAGAGCAUUGGGUGUGCAGUGGUGUGCCGAGUCUGAUAUCUUUAAGUUCAAGGUGAUCAUCAAAGAUAGGCCUUUUACUCAAAGAGGAAUUCUCUCUAUCAUUAGUUCCAUCUUUGACCCUCUUGGCUUUCUGUCUCCUGUGAUUCUACGUGCCAAAAUGAUACUUCAAGAUCUGUGUCGAGAGAAAAUUGGAUGGGACAGCACUAUUCCAACAGUGUACAUUCAGCGAUGGACGAGUUGGUUGGAGAAACUUCACGAAUUGGAGAAAUUUGAGGUCUGCAGGUGUUUGAAGCCAGAAAACUUUGGAGAAGUUAUAUCUGCCCAAUUGCAUCACGUCUCGGACGCUAGUGAGAAGGGUUAUGGCAUGGUGUCGUAUUUACUAUUUCAUAAUGAUCAACAAUGUGCCCAUUCCUUUCUUUUAAUGAGUAAAGCAAGAGUGACACCGUUAAGAGCUAUCACUAUCCCUCCUCUGGAGCUCACAGCAGCCACACUUGCAGGUCGCAUGGACAAGUUCUGUAAGGGAGAGCUGAAGAUGAAACUUCAGGAUUCUGUAUUUUGGACCGACAGCACCUCUGUCCUCAAGUACAUCCAAAAUGAGACUUCUAGAUUCAAAUGCUUUGUAGCUAACAGAGUUACUGAAAUUCGAAGUGUUUCUGAAAUCAGACAAUGGCGGUAUGUGAAUUCUUCCAACAAUCCAGCUGACCUAUCAUCUAGAGGUCUAAGAGUUGAUUCAUUCUUAAAGAACCAGAUGUGGAUUUCUGGUCCUCCAUUUCUUGUUCAACCACAAGAGUUGUUGCCCGUGGUUCCUACGGAUGUAGGUGUGAUGUCUUCUUGUGAUCCAGAAGUAAAAAGGAGUGUUCUGGUGAAUACUGUGCAAAUUCAUCAAGAGUAUGAUUUUAUGCCAUACUUUGAGUAUUACUCUUCAUGGAUGCAGUUGAAAAAAGGCGUAGCUUGGAUCCUUAGAUUCAGGAACAUUCUAAUUGAUCUCAGCAAGGAAAGGAAAAGGCUGAUGAACGUUUUCUCUGAUAUGGACAAGUUGCAAAGAGAAACUGUUGUUAGGAAAGAGAUUCAAAAUUUCAAAUCCAAUGUGUCUGCAAAAUUGUUAUCUUCAGAUGAGCUGGAAAGAGCUGAAUUGGAGAUUAUCCGUCUUUGCCAUAAGAAGAGAUAUUCUGAGGAACUGGCUAGUUUACGGAAAGAUGGAUUGGUAAAAUGGAAUAGUGAACUCUAUAGACUUAAUCCUGUGCUUCACUCAGAUGUCAUCAGAGUUGGUGGGCGUCUGGAUAAGGCUAUGAUGCCUGAAGAAGUUAAGCAUCCGAUAAUACUGGCCAAGGAUCUACACAUUUCAGAUUUUAUUUUGCUGCAAAUUCAUCGUGACAUUGGACAUUGUGGAUGGAAUUAUAUGCUGGCUAAUUUGCGGCAGAGAUAUUGGAUACCUGGUGCUAGCACGGCUAUAAGAAGAAUUUUGUCCAAGUGUGUGGUCUGCAGACAUCUUCAUGGAAUCCCGGGUCAUCAGCAGAUGGCAGAUCUACCACAAGAUAGAAUCACACCUGACAAACCGCCGUUCACGCAUGUUGGAGUGGACUGUUUUGGUCCCUUUGAAGUUAAACGUGGAAGGAGUGUUCUAAAACGUUAUGGAGUGAUAUUCACAUGUCUGACAAUAAGAGCUGUUCACCUUGAAAUUGCAAAUACACUUGAUACUGACUCUUUCAUCCAUGCAUUAAGGAGAUUUAUUGCACAUCAAGGACAAGUGGUCGACAUCCGUUCAGACAAUGGUACAAACUUUGUUGGUGCCCAAUGUGAAUUGCAAGAGGCUAUGAAAAACUGGAAUCAUAAUCAGAUCAAUUCAUUUCUGCUUCAAAAAGGAAUUAAGUGGAACUUUAAUCCCCCAGCUGGUUCGCACUUUGGGGGAAUUUGGGAAUGGCUUAUAAGAUCAGUAAGGAAGAUUUUAAAUUCUAUCCUUAGAGGACAAAGUUUAGAUGAGGAAGGUCUUUACACACUCUUUUGUGAAGUUGAAUCCAUCCUUAAUAAUCGUCCAAUAUCCAGAGCAUCUCUGGAUCUUAAUGAUUUGGAAGCUCUUACUCCGAACCAUCUUCUCCUCUUGAAAACACAGCCGUCUUUGCCACCUGGAUUGUUUAAAAAGGAUGAUCUAUAUUCACGACGACGUUGGCGACAGGUCCAAUAUAUGGCGGAUCUAUUUUGGAAGCGAUGGAGCUUGGAGUACCUACUUCAACUAAAAGAACGCCAGAAGUGGCUGGUGAAGAAACGCAAUUUUCAAGUGGGAGAUAUUGUGCUUGUCAUUGAUGAUACUGCUCCAAGGAGCUCAUGGAUAAUGGGCAAGAUUAUUCAGAUCACACAGGAUAAAGGGGGAUUGGCACGUCAAAUAAGAAUAAAGACCAAGAGUUCCUGCUUGACCAGAGCCAUUACUAAAGUCUGCCUUCUUCUGGAAACGGAGGACUUUAAUUAUUCCAUAACCAACUGA
Molecule: long non-coding RNA, 2811 nt
Organism: Carassius auratus (goldfish)
Lineage: Eukaryota; Metazoa; Chordata; Actinopteri; Cypriniformes; Cyprinidae
Source: Ensembl